Molecule: ribosomal RNA, 470 nt
Filed under: uncultured bacterium
Lineage: Bacteria
Description: bacterial SSU rRNA
Rfam family: Bacterial small subunit ribosomal RNA
Source: RNAcentral
ACUCCUACGGGAGGCAGCAGUAAGGAAUAUUGGUCAAUGGACGCAAGUCUGAACCAGCCAUGCCGCGUGAAGGAUGAAGGUCCUCUGGAUUGUAAACUUCUUUUAUAGGGGGCGAAAAAGGUUUUUCUAAAUCACUUGACAGUACCCUAUGAAUAAGCACCGGCUAACUCCGUGCCAGCAGCCGCGGUAAUACGGAGGGGUGCAAGCGUUAUCCGGAUUCACUGGGGUUUAAAGGGGUGCGUAGGCGGGUAGGUAAGUCAGAGGUGAAAUCCUGGAGCUUAACUCCAGAACUGCCUUUGAUACUAUCUAUCUUGAAUAUGGUGGAGGUAAGCGGAAUAUGUCAUGUAGCGGUGAAAUGCAUAGAUAUGACAUAGAACACCUAUUGCGAAGGCAGCUUACUACGCCUAUAUUGACGCUGAGGCACGAAAGCGUGGGGAUCAAACAGGAUUAGAUACCCUGGUAGCGACUGA